Molecule: non-coding RNA, 146 nt
Organism: Cucumis sativus (cucumber)
Lineage: Eukaryota; Viridiplantae; Streptophyta; Magnoliopsida; Cucurbitales; Cucurbitaceae
Source: Rfam
UUGUGCCUCACUUUCUGAACAUUGAUUUUGUAUCUAGCUUUACAUUCAAUGAAGUUCGAACUCAUAGUGAGGCCUAGAUGAACGUUCUCCUCGCUAUCCAGAGUUUCAUUUAACAUGAUCCAUUUGGACGUCGGAGAACUACAUUC